CGCCCGAGUUGUUCGAGGCCACGAACACCAGCCCUCGGGGCUGGACGUCGCCGGUUCAAAUCCGGUCUCGGGCGUC
This 76-nucleotide transfer RNA is filed under the name Halobacterium phage ChaoS9. Its description in RNAcentral is "tRNA-Arg". It matches the Rfam family "tRNA". Rfam says of the family: Transfer RNA (tRNA) molecules are approximately 80 nucleotides in length. Their secondary structure includes four short double-helical elements and three loops (D, anti-codon, and T loops). Lineage: Duplodnaviria; Heunggongvirae; Uroviricota; Caudoviricetes; Vertoviridae. The record is from RNAcentral.